UACGUAGGGUGCGAGCGUUGUCCGGAAUUAUUGGGCGUAAAGAGCUUGUAGGCGGUUUGUCGCGUCUGCCGUGAAAAUCCGAGGCUCAACCUCGGACUUGCGGUGGGUACGGGCAGACUAGAGUGUGGUAGGGGAGACUGGAAUUCCUGGUGUAGCGGUGAAAUGCGCAGAUAUCAGGAGGAACACCGAUGGCGAAGGCAGGUCUCUGGGCCACUACUGAGCUGAGGCGCGAAAGCAUGGGGAGCGAACAGG
This 252-nucleotide ribosomal RNA is filed under the name uncultured bacterium. RNAcentral describes it as "partial 16S ribosomal RNA". It matches the Rfam family "Bacterial small subunit ribosomal RNA", at positions 524 to 776 of the family's 1533-position model. The record is from RNAcentral.